This 755-nucleotide ribosomal RNA is filed under the name uncultured Mycoplasma sp. Its description in RNAcentral is "bacterial SSU rRNA". It matches the Rfam family "Bacterial small subunit ribosomal RNA", at positions 28 to 776 of the family's 1533-position model. The record is from RNAcentral. Lineage: Bacteria; Bacillati; Mycoplasmatota; Mollicutes; Mycoplasmatales; Mycoplasmataceae.
GAUGAACGCUCGCUGUGUGCCUAAUACAUGCAUGUUGAACGGGAUGUAGCAAUACAUUCAAUAGCGAAUGGGUGAGUAACACGUACCUAACCUACCUUUAAGACUGGGAUAACUAUUGGAAACAAUAGCUAAUACCGGAUAUAGUUAUUUAUCGCAUGAUGAGUAAUAGAAAGGAGCUUCACAGCUUCACUUAAAAAUGGGGGUGCGGAACAUUAGUUAGUUGGUAGGGUAAUGGCCUACCAAGACGAUGAUGUUUAGCCGGGCCGAGAGGCUGUACGGCCACACUGGGACUGAGAUACGGCCCAGACUCCUACGGGAGGCAGCAGUAAGGAAUUUUCCACAAUGAGCGAAAGCUUGAUGGAGCGACACAGCGUGCAGGAUGAAGUUCUUCGGAAUGUAAACUGCUGUUAUAAGGGAAGAAAAAAUAGAACAGGAAAUGAUUUUAUCUUGACGGUACCUUAUUAGAAAGCGACGGCAAACUAUGUGCCAGCAGCCGCGGUAAUACAUAGGUCGCAAGCGUUAUCCGGAAUUAUUGGGCGUAAAGCGUCCGUAGGUUUUUUGCUAAGUCUGGAGUUAAAUGCUGAAGCUCAACUUCAGUCCGCUUUGGAUACUGGCAAAAUAGAAUUAUAAAGAGGUUAGCGGAAUUCCUAGUGAAGCGGUGGAAUGCGUAGAUAUUAGGAAGAACACCAAUAGGCGAAGGCAGCUAACUGGUUAUAUAUUGACACUAAGGGACGAAAGCGUGGGGAGCAAACAGG